AGUAAACGCUGGCGGUAGGCCUAACACAUGCAAGUCGAACGGCAGCACAGUAAGAGCUUGCUCUUACGGGUGGCGAGUGGCGGACGGGUGAGGAAUACAUCGGAAUCUACUUUUUCGUGGGGGAUAACGUAGGGAAACUUACGCUAAUACCGCAUACGACCUACGGGUGAAAGCAGGGGAUCUUCGGACCUUGCGCGAUUGAAUGAGCCGAUGUCGGAUUAGCUAGUUGGCGGGGUAAAGGCCCACCAAGGCGACGAUCCGUAGCUGGUCUGAGAGGAUGAUCAGCCACACUGGAACUGAGACAUGGUCCAGACUCCUACGGGAGGCAGCAGUGGGGAAUAUUGGACAAUGGGCGCAAGCCUGAUCCAGCCAUACCGCGUGGGUGAAGAAGGCCUUCGGGUUGUAAAGCCCUUUUGUUGGGAAAGAAAAGCAGCAGGUUAAUACCCCGCUGUUCUGACGGUACCCAAAGAAUAAGCACCGGCUAACUUCGUG
Molecule: ribosomal RNA, 492 nt
Filed under: uncultured bacterium
Lineage: Bacteria
Description: partial 16S ribosomal RNA
Rfam family: Bacterial small subunit ribosomal RNA
Source: RNAcentral